CUGUCCAGAAUAAGGGGGCAGCGCUGAGGAUUUCUCUCGGACAGCACAGGAAAGGGACGCACGGUGAGCGAGAAAGAAGAAUAGUGUGCUGGCGAGGGAGAUUCACGGCCACAAUUUGAGCUUCCUGCGUCAUAAGGAAUUUUGAUGGCAAGAAGGAAAACAAGGAGAUUGGAGACAAAGAAGCAAAAGUGUGCUGGCAGAUUUGACCUUCUGUGCUUCUUUCAAAUUUUUGGCCAAGUUAUAAUCCCAGAACGUGAAUGAUGUCUUCAGAGACAUUGUAGAGGACUUAUUGGGCUUUCUGUAAUGGUAUGAUUUGUCCAAAUCCAAGUUCGUUUGGGCCUCCAAACAUCGCUUCAAAGUUGGGGUUGAAAAGUUGGGUCAAAUUAGGAAAGCUGCACAGACGCUGAAUCUUUAAAAGGCCAUAACUUGGGCGUCCGAUAUCGAAAUCAAGUGAUUAAAAAUCCAAAAUUCAUCUACUCUUCCUGAUCUACAAUUUUUAUGAAGGGGACGAAGCCCAGAACGCACGUUAUCCUAUUCGAAAUCAGAUGUGAAGUUUCAGUAACCUAGGGUUUCCUCCCUAAGCUCUAUUUAAGCACAUUAAAAGGCCAUUAGAGGAUGAAUUCCUUUCUCAUGUGAACAGUAGCCGAUUUUCCUUUUCUCCAUUGUUCUUGUCAAGAUGGAAGGCUAAGGAUUUUGUAACCAGUUGCAUGCCAUACUCCUUAUCCGGUUUGAAUCUUUGGACGUUUUUGUAUAUCUGUUUUCAUCUUUAAUCUUAUGGUUUUGUUUCUUCGCU
Long non-coding RNA from Diospyros lotus (date-plum), 793 nucleotides. RefSeq lists it as uncharacterized. The record is from RefSeq and is a predicted model, not a curated record. The transcript is spliced from 2 exons. Lineage: Eukaryota; Viridiplantae; Streptophyta; Magnoliopsida; Ericales; Ebenaceae.